GAUGAAGAACGCAGCAAAAUGCGAUAAGUAAUGUGAAUUGCAGAAUUCAGUGAAUCAUCGAAUCUUUGAACGCACAUUGCGCCCGCCAGUAUUCUGGCGGGCAUGCCUGUUCGAGCGUCAUUUCAACCCUCAAGCACAGCUUGGUGUUGGGACUCGCGUUAAUUCGCGUUCCUCAAAUUGAUUGGCGGUCACGUCGAGCUUCCAUAGCGUAGUAGUAAAACCCUCGUUACUGGUAAUCGUCGCGGCCACGCCGUUAAACCCCAACUUCUGAAUGUUGACCUCGGAUCAGGUAGGAAUACCCGCUGAACUUAAGCAUAUCAAUAAGCGGAGG
Molecule: unclassified non-coding RNA, 331 nt
Filed under: soil metagenome
Description: partial contains 5.8S ribosomal RNA, internal transcribed spacer 2, and large subunit ribosomal RNA
Rfam family: 5.8S ribosomal RNA (bases 1-120)
Source: RNAcentral